Molecule: ribosomal RNA, 510 nt
Filed under: uncultured bacterium
Lineage: Bacteria
Description: bacterial SSU rRNA
Rfam family: Bacterial small subunit ribosomal RNA
Source: RNAcentral
CCAUCUCUACGGAACAACUCCGGGAAACUGGAGCUAAUACCGUAUACGUCCUUUUGGAGAAAGAUUUAUCGGAGAUGGAUGAGCCCGCGUUGGAUUAGCUAGUUGGUGGGGUAAUGGCCUACCAAGGCGACGAUCCAUAGCUGGUCUGAGAGGAUGAUCAGCCACACUGGGACUGAGACACGGCCCAGACUCCUACGGGAGGCAGCAGUGGGGAAUAUUGGACAAUGGGCGCAAGCCUGAUCCAGCCAUGCCGCGUGAGUGAUGAAGGCCCUAGGGUUGUAAAGCUCUUUCACCGGUGAAGAUAAUGACGGUAACCGGAGAAGAAGCCCCGGCUAACUUCGUGCCAGCAGCCGCGGUAAUACGAAGGGGGCUAGCGUUGUUCGGAAUUACUGGGCGUAAAGCGCACGUAGGCGGAUAUUUAAGUCAGGGGUGAAAUCCCGGGGCUCAACCCCGGAACUGCCUUUGAUACUGGGUAUCUCGAGUCCGAGAGAGGUGAGUGGAAUUCCGAGU